RNAcentral lists this ribosomal RNA (253 nucleotides) under uncultured bacterium. Its description in RNAcentral is "partial 16S ribosomal RNA". It matches the Rfam family "Bacterial small subunit ribosomal RNA", at positions 524 to 776 of the family's 1533-position model. The record is from RNAcentral.
UACGUAGGGUGCGAGCGUUAAUCGGAAUUACUGGGCGUAAAGCGUGCGCAGGCGGUGAUGUAAGUCCGAUGUGAAAUCCCCGGGCUUAACCUGGGAACUGCAUUGGUGACUGCAUCGCUCGAGUAUGGCAGAGGGGGGUAGAAUUCCACGUGUAGCAGUGAAAUGCGUAGAGAUGUGGAGGAAUACCGAUGGCGAAGGCAGCCCCCUGGGUCAAUACUGACGCUGAGGCACGAAAGCAUGGGGAUCAAACAGG